GACGAACGCUGGCGGCGUGCCUAAUACAUGCAAGUUGAGCGCUGAAGGUUGGUACUUGUACCAACUGGAUGAGCAGCGAACGGGUGAGUAACGCGUGGGGAAUCUGCCUUUGAGCGGGGGACAACAUUUGGAAACGAAUGCUAAUACCGCAUAAAAACUUUAAACACAAGUUUUAAGUUUGAAAGAUGCAAUUGCAUCACUCAAAGAUGAUCCCGCGUUGUAUUAGCUAGUUGGUGAGGUAAAGGCUCACCAAGGCGAUGAUACAUAGCCGACCUGAGAGGGUGAUCGGCCACAUUGGGACUGAGGCACGGCCCAAACUCCUACGGGAGGCAGCAGUAGGGAAUCUUCGGCAAUGGACGAAAGUCUGACCGAGCAACGCCGCGGGAGUGAAGAAGGUUUUCGGAUCGUAAAACUCUGUUGGUAGAGAAGAACGUUGGUGAGAGUGGAAAGCUCAUCAAGUGACGGUAACUACCCAGAAAGGGACGGCUAACUACGUG
This 497-nucleotide ribosomal RNA is filed under the name uncultured bacterium. RNAcentral's name for it is "partial 16S ribosomal RNA". It matches the Rfam family "Bacterial small subunit ribosomal RNA", at positions 28 to 507 of the family's 1533-position model. The record is from RNAcentral.